Molecule: long non-coding RNA, 839 nt
Organism: Paramormyrops kingsleyae
Lineage: Eukaryota; Metazoa; Chordata; Actinopteri; Osteoglossiformes; Mormyridae
Source: RefSeq, a predicted model, not a curated record
CCAUGCAAAUGAGUUUGUUGUCCUGGAAAAAUGUUUGACUUGAGGUAAUCGCUGCAGACGGCCUAGGAGAAGAGAGAUCUGCUGUGGAUUUGUGGGGGAGGCAGCUCUCACAAGGACACUUUCAAAAUCCUCUUCAAACCUUGGCAAAGUGUCUGAUACCGCACAAGCCUGUCGACAAGAGGAAAUUGUUUAAUGAAAUCCACCACCACUCUCUCAGAAUAUGAGAAGUCGCCUUGAACCUAUUAGCAUGUGACAGGAUUCUCACGGGCUACAGGAAACUGCACCAUUAAUGACUAAAGAACAAAAAAGCUGCCAGGCUGGCAUGGAGCACGUCGAACAAUAAUAGGAAACUAAUUGUUUAUUUGGGGGAGGAAAAAAAACAGAAGAAAAUUCCAAUAUCGGAACAGAGUAAAAUGACACCCUGCUCUGAUAGAGAAUGACAGGGAUCACCUGCUCUCUUUUUGCAGUUUAGGGGAAUCAAAAGCUCAAUUUCUGCCUUCACACACCGAUACAAGACUGCAGAACCAGCACCGAAAGCAUCUCACUAUGCAUGUAACCAACUGGCUGCCCUCUCAGAGGAAUGACCUCACAUAUCAGCCUCCUGCAUUUUUAAUAACGGCCCUGUCAGCGGCCUGAGGAAUGCACUCGUCUUUAACGCGGUACAAAGGAAUUCCGAAAGAGGUAAUCUUAGCGAUUGCUAAUUAACUCCCCUUUUCUGUAGUAUGUCCAGGUUUAUAGCCCAGCUAUAGGGGGGGGGGAAAGCAGUAGGAAAAGCACAAAGCACACAAAAAACGGGGAAUUAUGAUAAGAGAAAAGUCAAACACAGCUGCACUAAAUAA